GCCACCAUGUGAAGUCGAUGUUUUUGUUGUCUUUCCAAAUUUUAUUCUAAUCAUAAUGAUAAGAGCCAGAUUAGGAUCUUACUUUAUAUAGUUUUACAUGUCACUUUUUAAAAACUUUAAUAUAUGUCAUGAGCAUUUCCCCAUUAACCAUACUUCAGAAGCACCUUUUCCAGUAGUGGUAUAAAAUUUCAUCGUUUGGCCAUUCCAAUGUCCAAUAUCCAAAAUGUCCAUACUCUCUAGAAAGGCAUUUUCAGCUUUCUACCAUUGUAACACAAUGACAAAGUGACAGGGAAGAACACUAUGGGCUUUGGUGUCCUGGAGAAGUGUAUUUAAAUUCCAGCUUUAUCAUUCUCUAGUUAGGUGCUCUUAGGUAAACAAGAUAACCUCUGAGUCCCAGUUCCUCAUUCUAAAGUGGGGAACUAAUAAGUCCCUUACAGAUUUGGACAUGCUGAGUUUGAAGUGAUUGUGCGAUAUCCAAGUAUAUACAGAUGGAGGGAGAGUUCUAGACUGAAAGUGUAGAUUUAAAAAAAAAAAAUCUAUUUUUCAGAGGACAUUUGAAGUCUUAGAAGGAGAUGAAAUCAGCCAGGAAGAGAGAGUAGAGAGAAAGGCAGGGAGCGAAGGAUUCGAAGUGAGCUGGGCCCACCAAUAUUUAGUGGGAGGGGGAGGGAAAGUGCAAAAGCCACGUGAUGAAGAAGAGAUGGUAGAGGGAUGAAACGAGAAGCAUGGAAAUAGUGUGGAGAAGCGGAGGGAAAUGUUUGCAGAAGAGAACAGAGACAGAGUGGUCAGAGAGGUAUAGUAAAAAGAAGAGACGGUUGGGGGUCAAGAAUGGAGGAAGGAGAGAUGCUGUCCAGUGCAGCAGUGAGGGGCACUAAGGCAAACACUGAAAACAACCAUUUGACUGGGUGACUAGGAGGCCUUUUGUCUCCUCGGCUGGAACAGUUUCCAUGCAGUGGAGGGUCAGAAGCUACAGAAGGAUGCACAAGAAUUGUGGAGUGUACUUUUAAAAGGUUUGUAUAAACAAGGAAGGAGAGGGGUGAAGAGAGAAGCUGGAGGGAAUCAAGGGAGGUUUUUUCUUUUUAAAUAUGUAAGAGACUUGAACAAGGCUGAGGGAAAGAAGAUGGUCAAGAGGGAGAAGAUACAGGCACAGGAAAGAAGGGGAGUCCAGUCAUUUGGGCAUUUCUUCAUUGAUUUAUUUGUUCAACAAAUGAGAAUAAAGUGCCUCCUAUGCGCAAAGAGCCAUUCCAUGGAUACAGCAAUGGUCAGGCAGUUUAGGUUGCUGCUUUCAUUGGGGGGGGUAUGUUAUACUUGGAGAAAAAGACAGUAAACCAUGAUGACAACACAAUAACACCAUCACGAGCAUAACUCAGGGAGCAAAUAUUUGAGAAUAAAAACUGUAUACCGAGCAUCAAAAUAGAUUCACUGUUUUGUAACGAGUGGUUACUUUGGAUCAGAUGUUCAGGAGUGGGCUAAGGAGGCAAUAUUGAAUCUGAGGCUCAUAUGACAAGAAGGAGACAGUUAUGCAAAGAUCAGCAGGAAGAGAUUUCAAGUCCGAGGAAGGGAUAGUGCAAUGGAUGAGCUCGGCAUGUCUGGCGCAACAAGAAGGUUGGAGUAACAGAGAUGGGGAAGAGUUGGAGAUGUGCUCAGAAAGGAAGGCUGAGGCUAGAUACUGAAGGACACUGGAGGCCACGGUUUUAUUCUAGGUGGGAUUAGAAGCCACCCACCGCAAGACAGUAAUAUGAUUACAUUUAUGUUUCAAAAGGAUCAUUCUGGCUGCUGUUAAAAUAUAAUUUAGUGGGGAGGAGCAGAAGAUGGGAACAGGUUAAGAAGUUAUAGCCAGAGUCAAAACAAGAGAUGGGGUGGCUUGGACUACAGUGGAGAUGACAAGAAAUGGAUGGAAUGAGGCCAUAUUUUGGAACAGAGCCAAAGGACAUGCUGAUGGAAUGGACAUGGAGAGGUGGUGUGUGAGGAAAUGAGGAACCAAUAAAGGCUCUUUGCUGGAGGACUUGAGUGGAUGGUGGGUUAUUUUAUUGAGGUGGAGAAGAGUAGGGUGUAUGUCUAACCAAGUCAAUUUACCUCAAUAAAGCUGAAAUAAAAAAAAAGAGUUCUGCCCUGGACGUGAUAAGAGGAUGACUGGUGGAGAGAUUAGUUGAAGGAAUAUUUCUUACCUACCUUAUCUCUAGCUUUUUAAUUACAGUUGUUUUCCCAAGGCUCCAAGGUACUGAAAGCAUGUAAAAGCCAUUUGGAGUAUCUACUUUUUGGCCUCGCCCACUGUUUCCUGUGCUCCUUUGUCCAUCCUUCUGCUCCCUGGUUCCAUACGCUGGCUUCUGACCCCGGUUCUGGAAAAUCACGUGUCCUUUCUCUAAUUUGUUACUCAGGUCCCCAUCUGAAUCUCUGCUCUGCAUACUUCCUUGAUCUCAUCAUUGGCUUCAACUUCAACAUCUUCCAUCAGUGACCCUGAAAGCCAUACGUUGGGAUGGCAACAUCCAAAGACGGUGGGACGCUGAGUGUUUGAGUUACCCCAUGGAGAAGAACUGCCCUGGAAUGUGAUGUGACCUGCAUUAGAAUUUACUUGGCAGAAAUAAAUCUUUGUUGCUUAAGCCACUGAGCUUUAGCGUUUUAUUUCUGCAGCCCGGCCUCGCCUACUGGAUUAAUGCAUCUGGCGAGCACAGCCCUGCAGGCUCUAACUCCAGCCCAUCUCUCCAAUGUGUUCACCUCCCUAGGCAUGUGGGACUCCUUUCACUUCCUCCAAAGUAUCGUGCUUUUGCUUGCCUUUGGUCAUUUCCCAUUUGCUGGGCAAUGUCUGCCUCUUCCUCCUCCUCCUUCCAGCAUAUGCACUUCGGCUAAAUCUUACUCAUCCUUCAGGUCACAAGCUAACCAUCACUUCCUCAGGGAAGCCGCCAUAACUUCCUUCAUCUCGCUCAUUGCACAUCACUGCAAUUACUUACAUUUAAACAGAUCUGUCAGCCUGCUAAGCUAUAAGCUUUGCCAGGGUGCAGACACUGUCCUUCUUAGGCAC
Long non-coding RNA from Equus caballus (horse), 3016 nucleotides. The record is from Ensembl. NCBI's taxonomy places the organism in Eukaryota, Metazoa, Chordata, Mammalia, Perissodactyla, Equidae.